Molecule: ribosomal RNA, 331 nt
Filed under: uncultured bacterium
Lineage: Bacteria
Description: bacterial SSU rRNA
Rfam family: Bacterial small subunit ribosomal RNA
Source: RNAcentral
GAUGAACGCUAGCUACAGGCUUAACACAUGCAAGUCGAGGGGCAGCACAAGGUAGCAAUACUGAGGUGGCGACCGGCGCACGGGUGAGUAACACGUAUCCAACCUGCCGUUUACUCUUGGAUAGCCUUCUGAAAAGGAGAUUAAUACAAGAUAGUAUCAUGAGAUCACAUGUUCACAUGAUUAAAGAAUUUCGGUAAACGAUGGGGAUGCGUUCCAUUAGAGUAGUAGGCGGGUAACGCCCACCUAGUCUACGAUGGAUAGGGGUUCUGAGAGGAAGGUCCCCCAAACUGGUACUGAGACACGGACCAGACUCCUACGGGAGCAGCAGUGA